AGGAUAAGAGCACCUCUGUUGUAGUAGGAAAGGGUGGUGUCAACGUUGAUGCAGGAAAAGGAAAGCCCGGAGGCACCCAUGUCGAUGUUGGGAAGGGUACUGGAGUGCAUGUGGAAGCCGGAAAAGGAAAGCCAGGCGGUGGCACUAACGUGAACGUAGGAGGCAAAGGCGGUACUGGGGUGAACACCGGGAAGGGAACCAACGUUGGUGUUGGCAAAGGAGGAGUGUCCGUAAACACAGGGCACAAGGGAAAGCCCGUGUAUGUUGGAGUAAAACCAGGACCAGACCCUUUUAACUACCAGUAUGCAGCCACCGAAACCCAACUCCAUCAAGACCCAAACGUUGCUAUUUUCUUCUUGGAGAAAGACAUGCGUCCUGGAACAACAAUGAACUUGCACUUCACCACAAAUUCAAACACGCAAACUUUUGUGCCGCGCGAAACUGCGGAAUCCAUCCCAUUUUCGUCCAACAAGCUGCCAGAAAUCUUCAACCAAUUUUCAGUGAAAUCGGGUUCCGUGGAAGCGGAUAUAAUCAAGGGUACAAUUCAAGAGUGUGAGAAUCCAGCCAUUAGAGGAGAGGAGAAAUAUUGUGCUACCUCUUUGGAGUCCAUGAUUGACUUUAGCACUUCUAAGCUUGGAGGAGGAAAUGUUCGAGCAAUUUCGACAGAAGCCGGAAAAGGAGCUACAUUGCAGAAGUACACAAUAACUUCUGGAGUGAAGAAGUUGGCGGCGGAUAAGUCGGUCGUGUGUCACAAGCAGAACUAUCCCUAUGCUGUCUUUUACUGCCAUGCAACAAAAACAACAAGAGCUUAUGUGGUGCCCCUGAAAGGUGCUGAUGGGGUGAAUGUUAAAGCAGUAGCAGUCUGCCAUACAGACACAUCGGAGUGGAACCCUAAUCAUUUGGCCUUCCAAGUUCUCAAAGUUAAGCCGGGAACUGUUCCGGUCUGCCAUUUCCUUCCCAGUGAUCAUGUUGUCUGGGUUCCAAACCAGAAAUCUACCUGAUUUGACUGAUCAACCCUUGAGUUCUACGUAUGAUGAUGUGAUCAGCUCAAUCAGCAUAGUUUGAGUGGCAAGAGUUUGAAAUUAAAUCGACCGUCGAUUACUUCUUAUUGUCACUAUGUAUUUCAGCCUAUAUAUAUACUCAUAAAUGAAAGCAUACUAUCGUGUGGACUUGUACCAAAAAGCAUG
RNAcentral lists this long non-coding RNA (1187 nucleotides) under Malus domestica (apple). Its description in RNAcentral is "long non-coding RNA (MDOM_LNC014502)". The record is from RNAcentral. Lineage: Eukaryota; Viridiplantae; Streptophyta; Magnoliopsida; Rosales; Rosaceae.